Molecule: transfer RNA, 75 nt
Filed under: Negativicutes bacterium
Lineage: Bacteria; Bacillati; Bacillota; Negativicutes
Description: tRNA-Asn
Rfam family: tRNA
About the family: Transfer RNA (tRNA) molecules are approximately 80 nucleotides in length.
Source: RNAcentral
UCCUCGAUAGCUCAAUGGUAGAGCACUCGGCUGUUAACCGAGAUGUUGUAGGUUCGAGUCCUACUCGAGGAGCCA